GUUAGUAGCUCAGUGGUUAGAGCGGAGCGCUCAUAACGCUUUGGUCGUGGGUUCAAGUCCUACCUAACC
Molecule: transfer RNA, 69 nt
Filed under: pig gut metagenome
Rfam family: tRNA
About the family: Transfer RNA (tRNA) molecules are approximately 80 nucleotides in length.
Source: RNAcentral